This is a non-coding RNA of Podarcis lilfordi (Lilford's wall lizard), 69 nucleotides long. The record is from the annotation of a GenBank genome assembly. Lineage: Eukaryota; Metazoa; Chordata; Lepidosauria; Squamata; Lacertidae.
GAGAUGGCUUAGUUAGUAGAGCAUGAAACUCUUACUCUCAGGUCAUGGAUUCAAGCCCUAUGUUGGGCA